This 366-nucleotide ribosomal RNA is filed under the name uncultured bacterium. RNAcentral describes it as "bacterial SSU rRNA". It matches the Rfam family "Bacterial small subunit ribosomal RNA", at positions 29 to 416 of the family's 1533-position model. The record is from RNAcentral.
AACGAACGCUGGCGGCAGGCUUAACACAUGCAAGUCGAACGGUUGUAGCUAAGUACAGCAGUGGCAGACGGGUGAGUAACACGUGGGAACCUUCCUAGGGGUACGGAACAACUCAGGGAAACUUGAGCGUAAUACCGUAUACGUCCUUACGGAGAAAGAUUUAUCGCCCUUAGACGGGCCCGCGUCGGGAUUAGGUAGUUGGUGGGGUAACGGCCUACCAAGCCUACGAUCCGUAGCUGAUCUGAGAGGAUGAUCAGCCACACUGGGACUGAGACACGGCCCAGACUCCUACGGGAGGCAGCAGUGGGGAAUCUUGCGCAAUGCGCGAAAGCGUGACGCAGCAACGCCGCGUGAGUGAAGAAGGCC